Molecule: unclassified non-coding RNA, 286 nt
Organism: Erinaceus europaeus (western European hedgehog)
Lineage: Eukaryota; Metazoa; Chordata; Mammalia; Eulipotyphla; Erinaceidae
Gene: 7SK
Rfam family: 7SK RNA
About the family: 7SK was discovered as an abundant small nuclear RNA in the mid-70s but a possible function has only recently been suggested. Two independent studies have found that 7SK RNA binds the CDK9/cyclin T complex (known as elongation factor P-TEFb). P-TEFb activates transcription by phosphorylating the C-terminal domain of RNA polymerase II.
Source: Ensembl
GGAUGUGAGAAUGAUCUGGUUGUGACCUCUGUCACCCCACUGAUUGCCAGGCUUGAUUCAGUUGAUCUGGAUGGCUAGGCUGGUGUUUCCUUUUCCCCUCACCACCCCAUGUGCAUUUCUCCAGAACCUUCCACAAACAGACAUGGAAUGAUCUUCAGUUGAGAGUAUAGGAGGGAGUACCUGCAACUCCCUGCUAAAAAUUCCAAACAACCUCUCAAAGAAAUUUAAACAAAUGGGGGCUGGGUGGUAGUGCAGUACCUUAAGUGCACAUGGUACAAAGUGCAAG